UUGCUUCAUAGUGUGAAUGGCGUGUGAGUGGGUUAUGUGUGUGUGAGUGCUUGGUGAGUGUUUGGUGAGUGUUUGGCGAGUGUUUGUGUGAGUAAAUGUGCGGUGUUUGUCCGUGUGAGUGUGUAUUUCUGUUAAAACCUACACAGUGAUCUUAUUUGAUCUGGUCUGAGUUUGGCUCUGCUCCGACCAGAGAUGAUAGGAAAAGCGCUCGCGAGCCUCCAUGGCGAUGAGCAGUUGGCGAGAUGUUAACCUACAGGGCCUCCACGCUUUAUGUUGUGGUCAGAGGUGAUGAAUUGAUCAGAUAUACUAGUUCUGGGUGAGCUUGGGUUCAUCUCAAGCUUCACUGUGGACAAUGAGUAAAGAAGCGAUUCUGAUCUAA
Molecule: non-coding RNA, 379 nt
Organism: Epinephelus fuscoguttatus (brown-marbled grouper)
Lineage: Eukaryota; Metazoa; Chordata; Actinopteri; Perciformes; Serranidae
Product: small Cajal body-specific RNA 2
Exons: 1
Source: RefSeq, a predicted model, not a curated record